RNAcentral lists this ribosomal RNA (253 nucleotides) under uncultured bacterium. RNAcentral's name for it is "partial 16S ribosomal RNA". It matches the Rfam family "Bacterial small subunit ribosomal RNA", at positions 524 to 776 of the family's 1533-position model. The record is from RNAcentral.
GACGAACCGUGCGAACGUUAUUCGGAUUCACUGGGCUUAAAGGGUGCGUAGGCGGGUCUUUAAGUCAGGGGUGAAAUCCUGGAGCUCAACUCCAGAACUGCCUUUGAUACUGAGGAUCUUGAGUACGGGAGAGGUGAGUGGAACUGCGAGUGUAGAGGUGAAAUUCGUAGAUAUUCGCAAGAACACCAGUGGCGAAGGCGGCUCACUGGCCCGUUACUGACGCUGAGGCACGAAAGCGUGGGGAGCAAACAGG